AUGAUUUGUGCUUUUGGUGUUCUUGCUUCCAGCGUCUACUUUAGGCUCAGAAGGAAAAGAAGUUUACAGGAGACAAUCACUCUUAUACUCUUCCAUGGUCACAAACAAGAGGUCCCUGGAUCUAUAGAAAUGAAAGAAUCAGAGCAUUACAACAGAAUGAAUCCUGGAAUGGGAAUGGAUUUGUGGCACAGUUGGGAAGCAUCCUGGCCAUGCCAUGUUAAAGGUAUGCCUUAUGGCAAGUUAUUUAGCUUUUCUGAGAUUUUGUGAAGUGAGAAUGGUAUUAAAUUUGUCACAGGUUUAAGUAAUUUAAAUGUAUGUAAUUCCUAGCAUGAAACCUGGAGCAACUAACUUGAUAAAUGCUAGUUCUCUUUUUGCCUUUUCUGACUUUUUGUUUUAUUGUUGUUUGCUUGCUUGUAAAUAUAAUUUUUUACUCCGUAAAACAAAGGAAGAGUUUUUAGAAAGCAAGAUGGCAUUUAUAGAAAAAUCUUUAAACUUUACUUUUUACUUAAUAAUUUUCUUUAUGUAAAUGUGUGCUAAAAUAAUGGUUCAAAUAAAAAAGUACAGAGUUAUAGCAAUCCAUCAUUGCUUCAGAUAUGUCCUUCCUGAUCAUUCUGCUGCUUGCCUUAUUUUAAAAAGCACAUACUUUCUUCACCCUUAUUUUUAAAAAUCACUUGUGCUAUUUGCUUCUUAUUCUCCUAUUAAUGUUUUCAUGUAGUCAGAUUAUUCUCUUCCUCAAAUCAUUAAUAAAAAUAGACCAGUUAAGUCCCCUGGGCUUAACAUGAAUCACUCCCUUCUAAAAAAAAAAGUCAAACAGCCUUAUUUCUUUAAUCUAUGAAGUCAUUUUCUAGGAGAAGCAAAAUGCUGGAUUAUAACCCAUUUUGUGUGUUCCUGCAUCUAUGGAGAGAUAUUUCAUAGUAAUAAUUAUGCCAAUCUUUCAUAAUAUUUGGUCAAAGCAGAGUACACUAAGAAAACAGUCAAGAAAGCACUCAAAGUAGAGGAAAGAGAACUUGUCUUGACUGGUCAGUUGCUACAUGCUCAUCCUUAUAUUGGGUUCUUCCAAAAUGUUGCUUUGACAAAACACCCUGAGUAAGCCUUUUAAUCUUCCAUUUUCUGAACAUGAAACUAAAGCCCCAACAUUUCAAAUGACUUGAAAUACAGACCAUGAAUUUGAACAAAGGGCUUCUUGACUUUAAAAUCUAUGUUCUUAUUUCUAUUCCUAGUUGCCUCCAAGGCAGUGAUUCUUACCCUUGGCUACACAUUGGAAUCAUCUGGGAAGCUGAAAAAAAAAAAACAAUGCCCAGGACCUGGGCAAGAUGGCUGAAUAAGAACAGCUCUGGUCUGCAGCUCCCAGCAAGAUCAACACAGAAGGUAAGUAAUUUCUGCAUUUCCAACUGAGGUACCUGGCUUAUCUCAUUGGGACUGGUUAGACAGUGGGGGCAGCCCACAGAGGGCGAGCAGAAGCAGGGUGGGGUAUCACCUUACCCAGGAAGCGAAAGGGGUUGGGGAACUCCUUCCCCUCACUAAGGGAAGCCGUGAAAGACUGUGCCAUGAUGAAUGGUACAUUCUGGCCCAGAUACUAUGCUUUUCCCAUAGUCUUUGCAACCCGCAGACCAGAGAUUCCCUCGGGUGCCUACACCACCUGGGCCCUGCCUGGGUUUCAAGCACAAAACUGGGUGGCUAUUUGGGCAGAAACCGAGCUAGUUGAAGGAUGUUUUUCUUAUACCCCAGUGGCACCUGGAACACCAGUGAGACAGAAGCGUUUGCUCCCCCAGAAAGGGGGCUGAAGCCAGAGAGUCAAGUGGUCUAACUUAGCAGAUCUCACACCCGCAAAGCCCAGCAAGCUAAUAUCCACUGGCUUGAAAUUCUCGCUGCCAGCACAGCAGUCUGAAGUCGACCUGGGACACUUGAGCUUAGUAGGGGAAGGGGCAUCCGCCGUUACUGAGGCUUGAGUACGAUUUUCCCCUCACAGUGUAAACAAAGCUGCUGGGAAGUUCAAACUGGGCAGAGCCCACUGCAGCACUGCAAAGCCGCUAGUAGCCACACUCCCUCUCUAGAUUCCUCCUCUCUGGGCAGGGCAUCUCUGAAAGAAAGGCAGCAGCCCCAGUCAGGGGCUUAUAGAUAAAAUUCCCGUCUACCUGGGACAGAACACCUGGGGGAAGGGGCAGCUAUGGGCACAGGUUCAGCAGACUUAAACGUUCCUGCCUGUGGGCUCUGAAGAGAGCAGCGGAUCUCCCAGCACAGUGUUCGAGCUCUGCUAAGGGACAGACUGCCUCCUCAAGUGGGUCCCUGAGCCUUGUGCCUCCUGAACAGGAGACAUCUCAGCAGGGGUUGACAGACACCUCAUAUAGGAGAGCUCCAGCUGGCAUCUGGCAGGUGGCCAUUUUGGAAGAAGCUUCCAGAGGAAGGAACUGGCAGCAAUCUUUUCUGUUCUGCAGCCUCCAUUGGUGAUACCAGGCAAACAGGGUCUGGAGUGAACUUCUAGCAAACUCCAGCAGACCUGCGGCAGAGGGACUGAAUAUUAGAAGGAAAACUAAUAAACAGAAAGAAAUAGCAUCAACAUCAAUAAAAAGGACGUCCACACAAAAACCCCAUCUGCAGGUCACCAACAUCAAAGACCAAAGGUAGAUAAAUCCAUAAAGAUGAGGAAAAACCAGCACAAAAAGGCUGAACAUUCCAAAACCAGAACACCUCUCCUCCUCCAAAGGAUCACAACUCCUUGCCAGCAAGGGAACAAAACUGGACGGAGAAUGAGUUUGACAAACUGACCGAAGUAGGCUUCAGAAGGUGGGUAAUAACAAACUCUUCCAAGCUAAAGGAGCAUGUUCUAACCCAAUGCAAGCAAGCUAAGAACUUUGAAAACUGUUAGACGAAUUGCUAACUAGAAUAACCAGUUUAGAGAAGAACAUAAAUGACCUGAUGGAGCUGAAAAACAUAACAUGGAAACUUUGUGAGGCAUACACACAUAUCAAUAGCUGAAUCGAUCAAGCAGAAGAAAAGAUAUCAGAGAUGGAAGAUCAACUUAAUCAAAUAAAGCGUGAAGACAAGAUUAGAGAAAAAAGAAUGAAAAGGAACUAACAAAGCCUCCAAGAAAUAUGGGACUAUGUGAAAAGACCAAACCUACAUUUAAUUGAUGUACCUGAAAGUGAUGGGGAGAAUGGAACCAAGCUGGAAAACACUCUUCAGGAUAUUAUCCAGGAGAACUUCCCCAACCUAGCAAGACAGGCCAACAUUCAAAUUCAGGAAAUACAG
This 3249-nucleotide long non-coding RNA is filed under the name Macaca mulatta (Rhesus monkey). RNAcentral describes it as "lncRNA (ENSMMUG00000057073.1)". Lineage: Eukaryota; Metazoa; Chordata; Mammalia; Primates; Cercopithecidae. The record is from RNAcentral.